GACGAACGCUGGCGGCGUGCUUAACACAUGCAAGUCGAACGGAAAGGCCCUGCUUUUGUGGGGUGCUCGAGUGGCGAACGGGUGAGUAACACGUGAGUAACCUGCCCUUGACUUUGGGAUAACUUCAGGAAACUGGGGCUAAUACCGGAUAGGAGCUCCUGCUGCAUGGUGGGGGUUGGAAAGUUUCGGCGGUUGGGGAUGGACUCGCGGCUUAUCAGCUUGUUGGUGGGGUAGUGGCUUACCAAGGCUUUGACGGGUAGCCGGCAUGAGAGGGUGACCGGCCACAUUGGUACUGAGGUACGGCCCAGAAUCCUACGGGAGGCAGCAGUGGGGAAUAUUGCACAAUGGGCGGAAGCCUGAUGCAGCAACGCCGCGUGCGGGAUGACGGCCUUCGGGUUGUAAACCGCUUUCGCCUGUGACGAAGCGUGAGUGACGGUAAUGGGUAAAGAAGCACCGGCUAACUACGUG
This 468-nucleotide ribosomal RNA is filed under the name uncultured bacterium. Its description in RNAcentral is "partial 16S ribosomal RNA". It matches the Rfam family "Bacterial small subunit ribosomal RNA", at positions 28 to 507 of the family's 1533-position model. The record is from RNAcentral.